Lontra canadensis (Northern American river otter) is the source of this 1800-nucleotide long non-coding RNA. RefSeq lists it as uncharacterized. The transcript has 4 exons. Lineage: Eukaryota; Metazoa; Chordata; Mammalia; Carnivora; Mustelidae. The record is from RefSeq and is a predicted model, not a curated record.
GCGGCGCCCCCUGGAGGAGGCCCGGCUGUUCAGCUCGCUUCUCUGCGCUGAGAACCAAGGCAUGUUUGAGCCUCGUAGUGCGUGGUGGUUAAUGAUAAAGCCGUGGCAUUUCGUUGAAUUUUCACAACCAUUUGUUGUAGCACAUAAGAACUAGUUUUGGAGAGAUGAUGAUUCACCCGAGUUCACAUAGCCCGCAGAUGAGGGGGUUGGGUUAAAGGCCAGAUCUGUUAUCCAAAUCUCUUCUUGAUGCUAAAAGGCCACUCUACCUGGAAAGUACUUUGGGUUCCUUCACAGCCACCAAGUGGCAAGAUGCCUUCCUGGCUCUCAGGAGCCCUGGGGUCAGAGUCCAUAAUCGAGACUGUGGGCCCCUCCCAGCUCUCCCAGCUUGUGUGUCCAGCAGUUCUGAUUGGAGCCUAUAGAAGGUCUAGUCCUGAGAGCAGCCUUCGGGAGAGUCAGAUUGGGGGUCUUGUGUGAAGACUCCAGUUAAAUGAUUUUGUUCCGUAGGCCCCAGUUCCAUUUCUUUAGGAACAAAGCAAUUCUAGAAAGAUAAAAGGGAAGGAACGGCACAAAUCAGAAACCCACCUGGAAGAAAACACCCCUGUGACCUUCUUCAGACCUUUCACCAGAGUUUUGAACAGAAGUGGAAGUAACCCCCCAAAGAAACAGACUCCAGAUUUCCAAGGCCAGAAGCAAUUUUUGAACUCCCCGCCCUAAAUGAGCAUGCUUUCAGAUGUCACAUCUGAAACUUCGACAUCUCUGUGACAGUGGAAGAUCAAGACCAGGUUUCAGCAAGAGGCGCGUGCUGCCUUAAGUGGUGUAGCUGAAAAUAAUGGUUUGAGAGCCACAGUUAUGAGGACAAAGGCAGGAAAAAGCCCUGAAAGCCACCAUCGGUCCAUGUGGACAAUGACUGGUAACAAGCAGUCUGUGGACUGGCACCAGCCUUCGGGCCACACCCUGAAAAACAGAAUGACCGAAUAUGACUGAGAACCAAGGGAAGCCAAAGAAGCAGCUCAACUUGGGCCAGGGAAGUACCUGAUAACCUUCAAACUCUGACACCUCAGGCCUGAGGGGCACUACCCACACGCUUCUCAGGAAACUGAAGAAAACCAGGCUGCUUGCAGGAGUGACCGGACUACCCUACUUAUCACCAGCGGAGAAGAGCUCAUCUCCCUGGAUCCAACAAUUUACUUAGAGGUAGGAAAUAGUAAUGCUGAAGUCAGGAGAUGGACAAGAGCUGUCAUCGCACUGGAUUACCUGUAGUCAACCAAAUGUCAUGCUAUAAUCUAGAAUAGCCCUUUACAGGCUGCUUCUGCCUUGAGUUGUAUUUCUCCCAUCCAUUUUGCAACUCCUAGUUUCAGGACAAUCAACAACUACCUUUCUCAAUCAUGAUCUCUUCCAAGAUCUCAUAGUAUUUUUCACAUCUCUCUACCAAAGAUAUAAAAUCUGUCUUCCAAAUUGGCUACAAGAUUCUCAAGGAUAAUGGCCAUGUUCUGCUAAUCUUGAAAUCCCCAGCAACUAGCUCAACUGACUAGGAAUCUAAAUGAUAUUUAUAAAUUCAUAUUCAACUUAAAUGAAUAAUGAAAAGAUACAAGUAAAACUGAACUUCAAGAUCAUCAAGGAAACUCAUAAUUUUACAGAUGAGAAAACCAAGGUUCAUGACAGUGAAGUGACCCACUCAAGGUCACAAAAGGAGGGGUUAAAUUGGGACUUGUCCCUUUCAGCAGAGUCAAGGACAAUGUCUGGUACAUAAGAAAACACUCAAUAAGUAUUGGCGGAAUGAAGUCCUUUUUUAAAAUUCAA